This 2789-nucleotide ribosomal RNA is filed under the name Escherichia coli. RNAcentral's name for it is "bacterial LSU rRNA". It matches the Rfam family "Bacterial large subunit ribosomal RNA". The record is from RNAcentral. Lineage: Bacteria; Pseudomonadati; Pseudomonadota; Gammaproteobacteria; Enterobacterales; Enterobacteriaceae.
AGCGUACACGGUGGAUGCCCUGGCAGUCAGAGGCGAUGAAGGACGUGCUAAUCUGCGAUAAGCGUCGGUAAGGUGAUAUGAACCGUUAUAACCGGCGAUUUCCGAAUGGGGAAACCCAGUGUGAUUCGACACACUAUCAUUAACUGAAUCCAUAGGUUAAUGAGGCGAACCGGGGGAACUGAAACAUCUAAGUACCCCGAGGAAAAGAAAUCAACCGAGAUUCCCCCAGUAGCGGCGAGCGAACGGGGAGCAGCCCAGAGCCUGAAUCAGUGUGUGUGUUAGUGGAAGCGUCUGGAAAGGCGCGCGAUACAGGGUGACAGCCCCGUACACAAAAAUACACAUACUGUGAGCUCGAUGAGUAGGGCGGGACACGUGGUAUCCUGUCUGAAUAUGGGGGGACCAUCCUCCAAGGCUAAAUACUCCUGACUGACCGAUAGUGAACCAGUACCGUGAGGGAAAGGCGAAAAGAACCCCGGCGAGGGGAGUGAAAAAGAACCUGAAACCGUGUACGUACAAGCAGUGGGAGCACAGAGCAAUCUGUGUGACUGCGUACCUUUUGUAUAAUGGGUCAGCGACUUAUAUUCUGUAGCAAGGUUAACCGAAUAGGGGAGCCGAAGGGAAACCGAGUCUUAACUGGGCGUUAAGUUGCAGGGUAUAGACCCGAAACCCGGUGAUCUAGCCAUGGGCAGGUUGAAGGUUGGGUAACACUAACUGGAGGACCGAACCGACUAAUGUUGAAAAAUUAGCGGAUGACUUGUGGCUGGGGGUGAAAGGCCAAUCAAACCGGGAGAUAGCUGGUUCUCCCCGAAAGCUAUUUAGGUAGCGCCUCGUGAAUUCAUCUCCGGGGGUAGAGCACUGUUUCGGCAAGGGGGUCAUCCCGACUUACCAACCCGAUGCAAACUGCGAAUACCGGAGAAUGUUAUCACGGGAGACACACGGCGGGUGCUAACGUCCGUCGUGAAGAGGGAAACAACCCAGACCGCCAGCUAAGGUCCCAAAGUCAUGGUUAAGUGGGAAACGAUGUGGGAAGGCCCAGACAGCCAGGAUGUUGGCUUAGAAGCAGCCAUCAUUUAAAGAAAGCGUAAUAGCUCACUGGUCGAGUCGGCCUGCGCGGAAGAUGUAACGGGGCUAAACCAUGCACCGAAGCUGCGGCAGCGACGCUGAUGCGUUGUUGGGUAGGGGAGCGUUCUGUAAGCCUGCGAAGGUGUGCUGUGAGGCAUGCUGGAGGUAUCAGAAGUGCGAAUGCUGACAUAAGUAACGAUAAAGCGGGUGAAAAGCCCGCUCGCCGGAAGACCAAGGGUUCCUGUCCAACGUUAAUCGGGGCAGGGUGAGUCGACCCCUAAGGCGAGGCCGAAAGGCGUAGUCGAUGGGAAACAGGUUAAUAUUCCUGUACUUGGUGUUACUGCGAAGGGGGGACGGAGAAGGCUAUGUUGGCCGGGCGACGGUUGUCCCGGUUUAAGCGUGUAGGCUGGUUUUCCAGGCAAAUCCGGAAAAUCAAGGCUGAGGCGUGAUGACGAGGCACUACGGUGCUGAAGCAACAAAUGCCCUGCUUCCAGGAAAAGCCUCUAAGCAUCAGGUAACAUCAAAUCGUACCCCAAACCGACACAGGUGGUCAGGUAGAGAAUACCAAGGCGCUUGAGAGAACUCGGGUGAAGGAACUAGGCAAAAUGGUGCCGUAACUUCGGGAGAAGGCACGCUGAUAUGUAGGUGAAGUCCCUCGCGGAUGGAGCUGAAAUCAGUCGAAGAUACCAGCUGGCUGCAACUGUUUAUUAAAAACACAGCACUGUGCAAACACGAAAGUGGACGUAUACGGUGUGACGCCUGCCCGGUGCCGGAAGGUUAAUUGAUGGGGUCAGCGCAAGCGAAGCUCUUGAUCGAAGCCCCGGUAAACGGCGGCCGUAACUAUAACGGUCCUAAGGUAGCGAAAUUCCUUGUCGGGUAAGUUCCGACCUGCACGAAUGGCGUAAUGAUGGCCAGGCUGUCUCCACCCGAGACUCAGUGAAAUUGAACUCGCUGUGAAGAUGCAGUGUACCCGCGGCAAGACGGAAAGACCCCGUGAACCUUUACUAUAGCUUGACACUGAACAUUGAGCCUUGAUGUGUAGGAUAGGUGGGAGGCUUUGAAGUGUGGACGCCAGUCUGCAUGGAGCCGGCCUUGAAAUACCACCCUUUAAUGUUUGAUGUUCUAACGUUGACCCGUAAUCCGGGUUGCGGACAGUGUCUGGUGGGUAGUUUGACUGGGGCGGUCUCCUCCUAAAGAGUAACGGAGGAGCACGAAGGUUGGCUAAUCCUGGUCGGACAUCAGGAGGUUAGUGCAAUGGCAUAAGCCAGCUUGACUGCGAGCGUGACGGCGCGAGCAGGUGCGAAAGCAGGUCAUAGUGAUCCGGUGGUUCUGAAUGGAAGGGCCAUCGCUCAACGGAUAAAAGGUACUCCGGGGAUAACAGGCUGAUACCGCCCAAGAGUUCAUAUCGACGGCGGUGUUUGGCACCUCGAUGUCGGCUCAUCACAUCCUGGGGCUGAAGUAGGUCCCAAGGGUAUGGCUGUUCGCCAUUUAAAGUGGUACGCGAGCUGGGUUUAGAACGUCGUGAGACAGUUCGGUCCCUAUCUGCCGUGGGCGCUGGAGAACUGAGGGGGGCUGCUCCUAGUACGAGAGGACCGGAGUGGACGCAUCACUGGUGUUCGGGUUGUCAUGCCAAUGGCACUGCCCGGUAGCUAAAUGCGGAAGAGAUAAGUGCUGAAAGCAUCUAAGCACGAAACUUGCCCCGAGAUGAGUUCUCCCUGACUCCUUGA